Molecule: ribosomal RNA, 470 nt
Filed under: uncultured bacterium
Lineage: Bacteria
Description: bacterial SSU rRNA
Rfam family: Bacterial small subunit ribosomal RNA
Source: RNAcentral
CUACGCACUCCUACGGGAGGCAGCAGUGGGGAAUAUUGCACAAUGGGCGCAAGCCUGAUGCAGCCAUGCCGCGUGUAUGAAGAAGGCCUUCGGGUUGUAAAGUACUUUCAGCAGUGAGGAAGGUGGGUAUGUUAAUAGCAUACUCAUUUGACGUUAGCUGCAGAAGAAGCACCGGCUAACUCCGUGCCAGCAGCCGCGGUAAUACGGAGGUGCGAGCGUUAAUCGGAAUUACUGGGCGUAAAGCGCAUGCAGGUGGUUUGUUAAGUCAGAUGUGAAAGCCCGGGGCUCAACCUCGGAAUUGCAUUUGAAACUGGCAAACUAGAGUACUGUAGAGGGGGUAGAAUUUCAGGUGUAGCGGUGAAAUGCGUAGAGAUCUGAAGGAAUACCGGUGGCGAAGGCGGCCCCCUGGACAGAUACUGACACUCAGAUGCGAAAGCGUGGGGAGCAAACAGGAUUAGAUACCCUGGUAG